GGAUUCCCGGCCAUUCAUUGAGUCAGAUUAGCCGCCACUGCACCCUCCCUACCCCCGCCCCCGUUGUGGUUCCCAUCUCUGUCAAACUGUUCUCCAGCGUUUAAACCUUCUUGAGAGCAGUGUUACAUAACUCUAGCGGACAGGAAAAGAAACUCUUCCUUUUCGCAGCAAGAACACGUCAGUGAGGAGGGGACGGCAAGCAGGUGAGCAGGCUCAGCCCAGCGGAAGGUUUCGGGGUGUUGAAAGUUCACGGCAGAACCGUCCUCAAACCCGUCACCAUCACCUGGACUUGCAGGUCACACCACAGACACGCACCUUGUAAAAAAACCUCAGCGAUCCAAGGUUUGUUGUUUUUCAAUAUAUACAACCCAUGGUGCAGUGCGCAACGGUGGACUGGUCAGCGGUCCCCGUUCUGCUGGUACCGUUAUGUGGGCAGAUGCAGGUUAGGGUGUGCAGCACUCCAGAUCUCAGAGCAGAGGAAUUCGGGGAAGCCUCCUGGUUGUGUUUAAGCCCGACAGACCCGACAUGUGCCUCAGUCUAGAGGAAGACUCCCGGAGAGGCACGGCUGGAGAAGAAAAGGCUGGUGGGCGUUACUGAGAGCAAUGGCAACGGCUGGGUGAAUGUUCCCAUCAUUAGGCUGUUCUCUCGGCGUUUUAUUGAAGCCUAAGAGCUACGUGGUCUGUCCCUCGUCGCUGCCCCCGUGUCCUGCGCUGCCUGCUACGUGCUGUUUGUGUUUGUUUGGGGGGACCUGGGCUAGUGUGUUGGGGGGGGGUGUUGUUGGCGGCACAGAGGGGUACAGUGAGGGGAUCUGCCUGCCCACCCCGCAGGACCUCCGAGUGCUUUUCCCAGCCCGUCUCCAGACAGAGAGGCAGACCUGGUGUGCUGAAGCUUGCCUGGGAAGCCAGAAGAAUCCCGCGUUAUAAACGAGCGAGCCGGACCAAUGUGUUUCUUUAACGGCUGUGGCCAAGAGAACAAGAGGAGAGGACGAUGUCGCGCUCGUUGUGUACCGCUCGAGAGGCUUUAAAUACGCAAGCAAUGGCGUACUCCCCUACGGCGAUGGCUCUGUAGCUGUUUCAGUGGGGCAGCAGAGGCUCGGCCGGUGUGAAGAGCAGACAGAAGACAGCGGGCUGAGCCAGGCUGGCCUGGCGGGAGAGAGGUCCAGUAGGAAUAGCUGCACACUGGAGUAGACGCUGGGGUCGGGCCACCUCUACUCCAACUCAACACUUGGUCCCCUUUGGCUUCUGCCAGUGUGCAGCUGGGGGGAGUGCAGACAGCUGCAGGUCGAUGCACCCAUCGGCCUCUACUCGUCUGCAAGUCCUCUUCUCCCUUCUCCCCUGUUAUAUCAAGUGAGGGGACGCUCUGAUGAACGAAUCCAGAUCACAGUCUUGCUUUAGGAGGCUGUGAGAGAUCCCCCUUUCUGACAGUGUGGCAAGGGGUCUCCACAUGAACCGUAAUCCUGUCUUUCCACUGACAGCAAGAGCCUCACGCGGUCGAUUCCGGGUGGCCAGGUGCCCUCACUGACCGUCUUCCUUUUUCACCAGGCUGCUACCAAUAUCAUCCCGCGGUAGUCUUUCUCGGAUUUGUUGUACCGCACGGAAAAUGGACACUGCCGCUCACUCAGAAGCUGUCUCACCACUGUUGGACCUGCUGCUGCUCACAAGAGCCCCUCUGAGAAUCUAAGUGGCAGAGGGGUUCUGUCUUCUCUGGAAUCAGAGCUGGGCUGUGCCGUAUGAUGUUCCCAUCCAGAGAAGCUCCUCUUGGGUGAAUGGAAAUGCAUCCUAAAAGACAAAAGCUGACCUCCAGGAACAAUCGCCUCACUUUUUGACGUCCAUUGCUCUUCCCUGCUUUGUGUCCAUUCACCGUGUGGUUUUUGGAGAGGCAUUAAAGUCUCAGAUGAAUGUUGACGGACUGGAGAGAAGAGCAAGAACUAGGCAGAGCUUAGCACAAAUCUGUGAUUGGCAUUUUGCUAAAGCGAUGCGCUGUCCUCUAGGAUUUACAUGGGAGACUCCUGACUAACACUCUGUCCUAUAUUCAAGGUCUCUUUGUCCAUCAGGCCUGGAGUGCAUUUUCAGUAGUAGCGUUUGUCUUGAUGUUCUGUAAUAAUUACACUCUAGUUCUCAAUUACCCUGAUGCCCUUUCAUUUUUAACGUCCAUUGUGCUAAAAGUUUUAUUCGAUGACUCUCUUGUCCCAGGAUGCCAGCUUUUAGGGUUUAGUGUGUCUCUAUAGAGAAUUGUGUAAUGCUGUUAAGAACACUUCUCUCACCAGAAGGUAUUAGUCUGGUCUGCAACUUCACAAAUUCAUUAAAGAAAGCCUUUCUGUAUUUUACUCACAAUACCCCAUAUUAUAUUUCUGGGAAGUUCACAGCUAGUGUUUUUUUUCCUGAAAG
This is a long non-coding RNA of Lepisosteus oculatus (spotted gar), 2387 nucleotides long. The record is from Ensembl. NCBI's taxonomy places the organism in Eukaryota, Metazoa, Chordata, Actinopteri, Semionotiformes, Lepisosteidae.